GAUGAACGCUGGCGGCGUGCCUAAUACAUGCAAGUCGAGCGAACGGACGAGAAGCUUGCUUCUCUGAUGUUAGCGGCGGACGGGUGAGUAACACGUGGAUAACCUACCUAUAAGACUGGGAUAACUUCGGGAAACCGGAGCUAAUACCGGAUAAUAUUUUGAACCGCAUGGUUCAAAAGUGAAAGACGGUCUUGCUGUCACUUAUAGAUGGAUCCGCGCUGCAUUAGCUAGUUGGUAAGGUAACGGCUUACCAAGGCAACGAUGCAUAGCCGACCUGAGAGGGUGAUCGGCCACACUGGAACGUAGACACGGUCCAGACUCCUACGGGAGGCAGCAGUAGGGAAUCGUCCGCAAUGGGCGAAAGCCUGACGGAGCAACGCCGCGUGAGUGAUGAAGGUCUUGGGAUCGUAAAACUCUGUUACUAGGGAAGAACAUAUGUGUAAGUAACUGUGCACAUCUUGACGGUACCUAAUCAGAAAGCCACGGCUAACUACGUG
This 497-nucleotide ribosomal RNA is filed under the name uncultured bacterium. RNAcentral's name for it is "partial 16S ribosomal RNA". It matches the Rfam family "Bacterial small subunit ribosomal RNA", at positions 28 to 507 of the family's 1533-position model. The record is from RNAcentral.